AGACCAAGUUGGAGUAUCGAUACGAUCAGACACCGUUGUAGUUCCAACCACAAACGUGAGCCGACUGUCUGUGGGGCGGGU
RNAcentral lists this ribosomal RNA (81 nucleotides) under Mikrocytiidae sp. Its description in RNAcentral is "partial small subunit ribosomal RNA". The record is from RNAcentral. Lineage: Eukaryota; Endomyxa; Ascetosporea; Mikrocytida; Mikrocytiidae.